CCUACGGGUGGCAGCAGUGGGGAAUAUUGGACAAUGGGGGGAACCCUGAUCCAGCGACGCCGCGUGAGUGAAGAAGUAUUUCGGUAUGGAAAGCUCUAUCAGCAGGGAAGAAAAUGACGGUACCUGACUAAGAAGCCCCGGCUAACUACGUGCCAGCAGCCGAGGUAAUACGGAGGGGGCAAGCGUUAUCCGGAUUUAGGGGGUGGAAAGGGAGGGUAGACGGUGCAGCAAGUCUGAUGGGAAAGGUCGGGGCCCAACCCCGGGACUGCAUUGGAAACUGUUGAACUUGAGUACAGGAGAGGUAAGCGGAAUUCCUGGUGUAGCGGUGAAAUGCGUAGAUAUUAGGAGGAAGACCAGUGGCGAAGGCGGCUUACUGGACUGUAACUGACGUUGAGGCUCGAAAGCGUGGGGAGCAAACAGGAUUAGAUACCCUGGUAGUC
This 440-nucleotide ribosomal RNA is filed under the name uncultured bacterium. Its description in RNAcentral is "partial 16S ribosomal RNA". It matches the Rfam family "Bacterial small subunit ribosomal RNA", at positions 338 to 795 of the family's 1533-position model. The record is from RNAcentral.